UGGAAACUUCAGUGUCAUACCUGUUGAGGGGAUCUUGUUGGACGCGUUUUGGCGGAGGGGAACUCAUCAAGUGGGAGAAAACGUUCGUAAAUUCGGAGGAAAGUGAUCGGAAGGUUUUCAUUGUCAGAAGAACUCGGGCUGCUCCCUUGUUAAUUGUUCCAAGUGCAUGGAAAAAUUGGGCUCUUUCGAACCCGCAUUACCCGAAGGGAAAGAAUCAGGCUCGAGGUGACUAUCUUACUUGGGCGAUGGGACGAAAAAUGAUCGAAAACGCUGCGAUUUUUGAAGAGGAGGGAAUUCGAACCUCGAUUCUUGCGUACGUGCCAAUGAGGCGUCGAGAAAAAACACUCUCGAGACUAUUUUGACCUGCUCCGGGGCAACGAUUCGCUCUUGUUUCAAGAGGAAGCUUCGACAAGUUUAAGCAACGAGCCAGCGGAAAGAGUUACGACGAGAUGCGGGGCGCGCCCAACCGGGCGAAGGACCAGAAAUCAUUCUGACCAUUUACGUCCAUCUCAAUUUGUAUUAACCGCAUUUUUCUCCCGCCCCUCUUCCUCCCUGCGCCACUCCACGUCUUUCGUUAACACUCAACACAAUCGAAACGACCAACGAGCAAAUUAGUAAGAACAAUCUCGUGACCGAGUCCCAUGCAGCGUCCAAUUAUCCCUCUCGACUUCUUGACUUGGAUGAAAAAUCGUGCGGACGAAAAUAACGUAAAGCUCGUUCAACGGAACUUUGCGGACGUAUAUAUUUCAUCGGUUUUUCCAUGUUGGGAUCGAUGAGCUUCGAAAAUUGUUCAACUUUCCUCGUGUGACAACUCUUCACAAAAGUUUUCAUCGCUUCCGUAAAAACCUUCGGUUCUCGUCGUGGCGAUUGAGCCAUCACGAAAAAUGAAGGAAAUUACGAGCUCAAAAUAUAUUUUUUGCAAAGCCUCCAUAUUACACGAAGUUUGAAAAUCCCAAGAAAAUGAGAAAAACAACCGAAGCCAAGUGCAUUCGUCGCCGGCUGCGUUCGCACCCGGAAAUCAUUGAUGGGUUGUUGCAAAAUGUUGUGAGACGAGGAUCCGCGAUUGCAGGGAAAAUGAAAAUCGUGCGUUCGGAACGUCGAGGAACGAGGACGUCCUAACGAGUCCCCGACGCGUUUCAAGGUUAAAACUUCCUUUUGGAGAAACGAAGUCGAGCGGCGCGCAGGUGGAUAACUCGAGACGUUUAUUUUUCGCUCGGUUUAUCAUAUCGAGUGAAGCUCGCAGCACACUGACGAAGGUGGACGCCACGGGGAGAGGCCAAGGCGGGGGGGAGGAGCGAGUGGGAAAGGGGAUCCAAGAGACAAAUGACGGAGAGAGAACGAGCCAAGAAAAUUGAGCCGGGAGGGAGGGCAAGGAAAUUUUUGAAGGAAGCGAUGCUCGUAGGUCACGCUCCGAGUAACCGCGAGACUGACGAGCAGAAUGGAAAGAGAAAAAAAAUGGUUACGGGGAACGGAGAAAACGGAAUGCAGAAGACGAGUGAAACGUACGCGCACGGAGAACGACGACGAAGAUCGAGGGAAAAGAAAAAAGGGAAGAAGGAGGAAAUGAGAGACUGCAGAAGGGGCCAGAAAUACUGAGACAAAUACUUGUACACGAGUCGAACAAAUACCACUUAAACUUCGUCAAGAGUAUUGCAAAUAAAAUGAACGUAUAAACGGGAUACGGAAGGAUGAAUUAUCGUGUGUAUAUUGCGGAUAAAAAACGCAUGUUCUUUGAUGGACGAAAAACGAAGACGAGGGAGGCAUGACGAUGAGAGACGUCCUUGAAAAAAAGCUAACGCGCUCCAUUGCGUUUGAACUGGGAGGAACAGUCUGUGCUCCUUGGCCGAGUGUAAUUCUCGAGUUUCGAGUCGUUCAACGCUCACUCUAAGUUUUCGUUGAAAUAAAUAUUCUUUUUCAGCAUAUAUUUUGAAGUGUUUUUUCGAUAUGGAGCCAGUCGAAAAGUUUUCUUCUUCGCUAUUUUGAGUUUCUUGAAAAAUAUUUACAUUUUGGGGGGGUUUUGGGAAGCUGACGGAAAAAGCGAGCGACGAAAUUUGCGGGUUUUUAACUCAGAAAUUGGAUAUUUUUGGGCUCUCGCUGCGUCCGCUGAUUCUUCGACUGGUUCUCCACUCACUCGCUGCGUCGGGAACAGCUCGAUCGUGAUGUUUUCAGAAGUGGACGAAAGGUUCGUGCACAUCGACGGGUUUUCGGAUCUUUUUGACCCCCGAGAAACGAGGAAUGGCGAAUCCACUGAAGACAGUUUGCGCCCGACAACGGACAAUUGUUGCCGCUCCUUCAUCGGCAAAUUCCCAAAAUUCUCGUUGCUCGCUCGGCCCCAAAAUCGUGAGGAAAUCGGCGGAGAAUUUCGCCAUAAAAUUAUUUGAGUGGGCAAUCCAUCGAAAAGCUGCGUUCGAAGCAGCGCAGUCGGGAAAGAAAAUGUGGAGAAUCGGAUAAACAAAAGCUCGAGAAACUUGGCUUUACCGAAAAGUAAAUUUCGUCGAGUAUUGCCGAAUUCCGAGAAAAUUCUACAGCGUCAUUGUACCAGUGAGGACGAUGGGGAACGAUGGUUACGGAGGCCGAGCAACCUCUGCGCUGAGUGCAAGAAAGCCACGGGAGUUUUACAGCGGUGUAUUCCCGGCUCAAAAUCUCGAUUCAACUUCGUCUGGGAAAAAUCAAUCACCUCGAAGCAGAGUCGACCAAUUUUUCAACGGGGGAAAUACCCUCGCAGACAGUUUUCCAAGUCAAAAAAACUCAGGAAAAAACUAGAUUACGUGGACCUGAAUGAGGAUUGUGGGGACUGAGAAAAAUCAUGACGCUGAAGUUUCCAACGUUGGAGUCCAACGAAAUAAUCUAAAAAAACUCUCAAAUUAUUCCAGUGAAUCUCCAAUCUUGUUCCCUGCCGAAUUUCCAAUUCGUCAUCU
This 2918-nucleotide long non-coding RNA is filed under the name Venturia canescens. Its description in RNAcentral is "uncharacterized LOC122418868, transcript variant X1". The record is from RNAcentral. Lineage: Eukaryota; Metazoa; Arthropoda; Insecta; Hymenoptera; Ichneumonidae.